UCUGGUAUUGCCAGUUCUUGUAAGGAUCUUUAACCCUUGGUUGCAUGGGUAUUUCAAGGUUGGCAAAGAACACCACUAAAGAAAAAUGAAAAAACACCCUUCAGUGUAAGACUGAAGUCUUUUUUUCCUACACAAUGUACAUCAAGUUUAUCGACACUGAUCAUUAAAAUUGGGGGAAAAAAAACUAGAUAAGAAACAACAGCACUUCAGGUAUAUGGGGUGGCACCCCUUGGUGCCUUCUAAUAUAAAUUUUUACUUACCAAAAACGAAAAAAAAAAAAAAA
Molecule: non-coding RNA, 283 nt
Organism: Camellia sinensis
Lineage: Eukaryota; Viridiplantae; Streptophyta; Magnoliopsida; Ericales; Theaceae
Source: RefSeq, a predicted model, not a curated record